This 260-nucleotide ribosomal RNA is filed under the name Pavlova sp. CCMP459. Its description in RNAcentral is "partial Bacterial large subunit ribosomal RNA". It matches the Rfam family "Bacterial large subunit ribosomal RNA", at positions 2185 to 2443 of the family's 2925-position model. Lineage: Eukaryota; Haptophyta; Pavlovophyceae; Pavlovales; Pavlovaceae. The record is from RNAcentral.
GCCAACCUUGAAAUACCACCCUGGUAAUUUCGGAGUUCUAACCUCGAUCGGUAUAUCCCGGUCAGGGACAAUGUAUGGUGGGUAGUUUGACUGGGGCGGUCUCCUCCCAAAGAGUAACGGAGGAGUGCGAAGGUAACCUCAGCGCGGUCGGAAAUCGCGCAGUGAGUGCAUAGGCAUAAGGUUGCUUGACUGCAAGACAAACAAGUCGAGCAGGUACGAAAGUAGGUCUAAGUGAUCCGGUGGUUCUGUAUGGAAGGGCC